This 3501-nucleotide long non-coding RNA is filed under the name Homo sapiens (human). RNAcentral's name for it is "HSALNT0303519". The record is from RNAcentral. Lineage: Eukaryota; Metazoa; Chordata; Mammalia; Primates; Hominidae.
CUUGACCCUGGAAAGAGAAAGCAGAAAGGACUGGAUGGCCUGAUGUGGACACGCUUCUUGGAAGUGGUGGGCCUUGAGAAGUCAUGUAGGGAGGAUACAGUUGGCUGGCUCUCCAGGCCCGGUGGCAGCAACUCAAUCUAGCUCUGUCCUUGCCUCCACGGAGCCUUCCAUAUAUUGUCAUAGAACCUCCCCCACCGCCAUUGUCUCACUAUCCCAGACUGUUGCUAAGCAAUCAGAGGCUUUGGAGAUUGACCCAGCUCCAGGCACAGGCUCUGAUUGGGCUAAGCCAAUCAUCAUAAUUCCAUCAGACCUUGCCCCAGACCUAAGUCAGUCAGCAUAUGGCUUUCCUUUAGUUCUAGCUAAAGGAACGAGAAUGGACACUUGAUCGAAUUGAGGCCAUAAGAGAUGAGGGAAGAUGCAAGGAGCUUCUGGAAAAGGAAUGACCCCAAGUUUAUCAGAAGGCUCCUGUGGCUCCAGGGUCAACUCUGGGCAUAUCUGACUACAUCACUCCACCCCUACCAUGGUCUCUCCUCUGUACCCCAGCGUUCCAGGUAUUUCCCCUAAGAAAAGGACAGAAGGUCCCCUAAGACCACAGUGACCUGCAGAGAGGGACAAGAAUACAGAUUAUCCACCCAGAAUCACGUUUCUCCCUUUCCAGGGUACUGUCUUCUGAGAGCGCACUUGUCUGCCAACCCCAGUAGCCAGGACUCAGCAUACCUGGCAAACACCUUCAAAACUAGCAAAUCAUGCUGGCUAUCUGCCCCAGGUAGGGCCUUAGCAACUGGCUUCAAGUUGAGAUAAAGUGACAGUGCUUUUCAGGGAUACAGUUUGAAGAUUUCCUGGGCUAUUGUUGCUUCUGGGGUGUUAGGAUUCUAAUAAUUACAACAGGACCCUGUGUAUGUGGUGGGGUUGGAGAGAGCAUCUCAGUACCUCUCCAAGUUCAUCCUCACUAUCUUGAACUGGGGUAUCUUACAUCUCUAUACCAGUGUUUUGCAACCCUGGCUGUACAAACACCAAUGCAGGGGUCUUACCCCUACAGAUUCUGAUUAAUUCAUCUGGUUUGGGGCCUGGGCAUUGGUAUUUGUAAAGUUCUCCAGGUGAUUCUCGUGUGUAGCCAGGGUUGAGAACCACUUUAAGGCCUUUCUGCCUCAGUCAGGGAGGCAAGAGGCUGCAGGUGAUUUUGAGGGAGAAGGGUCAAUAGAGUAAGGGAGGAAGAAACAGGAAACUAGCAGAGUCCCCGGGGGGAGAGAAUGUGUUAUCCUAAAGACCCUUGGUCACAGCCAUGCAGCUGGGCAAACAGAUAACGCCUGGUGGAACAACAGAAGCUGGACCAUGAGAAGGGCAGACAGCAGAAAAUGCCCAGAGAAGGGUUCAAUUUCUUCUUUGGAAGGUGAUGGUAAGGGUGUGGCUCCAGAUUAACUGGUUCUACAGCUCCAGGCAAGGGAGAUGGAAGGCUGAGGGGAGCAGGUCCAUCAGGGAGCAGUUGGGGGAGAACCUAGAGAGGCACUGUCUGUACACUCCAGGGCCAGUGCCCAAGGCCAGAUGCUCCUCAUCUAUUCUCUAAACCACCCCAGGAUCCUCUUGAAGCUUAAGCUAGUUUAGAUUGAGCUUCUGUCACUUUCAACUGAAGCUUGACUAGUAAAAACUCCUGAGGUUAAAGCCUCUAUUGGGUAAAAGAAUUAGAACCAGUGGGAUAGUCCCAGAAAAGAGCUGUGUGGGCUAGGGGCACUGUGAAGACCCAGGGGACAUUGGAACCUGGCCCUGUGCUGUCUUCCAGGAGGAGUGGUACACCCCAGAGAAAUGGCCAGGUACGUGAAACUAAAGAAUCAUGCUUGGAGUGCUGAGAUCCAUUUGUCUGAGCAGGAACACACCCUAAGAUGGGCCUAGGCUGUGGAAGCUGACACUUUCACUGUGGCCAGGCAGCGUGCUCGCUCAUGAAUGGGAGCAGGGUGGGGGAACUUGGCUGUGAGAAUUGGGAGUCCUCCAGUGGUGAGUCUGGGUUCUGGCUGUGGUGGUAAUGGGGUAGGAAACAGGACUUUCAGAACAGCACCCUGGAGUAUCCAUUUGGAAGGAAGUGGAUAAUGCUUUUGGGGGAGAAAGAAAAAUUUGAAAGACAGGUUCUAAUGGGUGGGAGAGGGAAUGUCUGCCUCUUGGGACCAGAUUUGGAGGAAGGCAGGUGUCUGGGUGCCCACUAUAUUGUAGGGGUGGGGAGCUCUGCUCAGGACAGGAACCCUAAAGAACAAGUCAUACCCCUUAAAUCAGAUUUACAUUGAGGGAAAAAAGGAGUUCACUACGAGAGCCUAUCCAAGUCCCUAAACAAACAAGCAAACAACAAAAACAAGCCCGAGAGGGGGGAAGGGAUAUCAGAAUUCAGAGUUACUACAAUAUAUUUCCUAAAAAGUUUAAUUUUCAACAAAAAACCAUGAGAUAUACAAAUAAACAUGACCCAUACAUAGGGGGAAAAAAGCAGACAACAGAAACUGCCUAUGAAAGAGGCCAGAUAUCAGAUUUAACAGACCAAGACUUCAAACCAGCCAUUAAAGCUAUGUUUAAAGAACUAAAGGAAACUAUGAUUUAAAAAAGUAGAAGAAGGUAUGGUGACAAUUUCUCAACAAAUAGAGACUAUCGAUAAGGUAAACCAUUAAAAAAUAAUCCAAUGAAUUCUGGAAUUGCAGAGUAUAAUAAUUGAAACAAAAAAUUCACUAGAGAGGAACAAUAGUGGAUUUGAACUUGCAGAAGAAACGAUCAGCAAACUUGAAGAUAGGCAGUAGAGAUUAUGCAAUCCAAAGAACAAAGAGAAAAAAGAAUGAAGGAAAACAGAGCCUCAAAAAAAGUCGGGGGGCACCAUUAGGCACACCAACAUACUCAUAAUGGGAAUUCCAGAAGGAGAGAUGAGAGAAAAGAGCAGAGAAAGUAAUUGAAGAAGCAAUGGCUGAAAAUUAGCCAAGUUUGAUGAAAAAGAUUAAUCUACACAUUUAAGAAAGCUCAGCAAACUCCAAGUAAGUUAAACACAAAUAUAUCCACACCUAAGCUCAUCAUACUAAAAAUGCUGAGAGACAAAGUUUUCAAAGCAGCAAGAGAAAAAGAACAAAUCACAUUCAAGGGAACCUCAAUAAGAUCAAUAGCUGAAUUCUCAUCAGAAACAAUGGAGGCCAAAAGGUAAUGGGUAACAUAUUCAAAAUGCUGAACAAAAAACAACUCUCAAGAAUUUUAUAUCCAGAAAAGCUAUCUUUGAAAAUAAAGGCAAAAUAAAGACAUUGCCUGACAAACAAAAACUCAGAAAAUUUGUUGCUAGCAUCCCUGCCUUACAAGAAUUACUAAUGGAAGUUCUUCAGACUAGAAGUAAGUGACCCCACACCAUAAUCUGAAUCUUCACAAAAUAAAAACAAAACAAAUCCAAAGAGCACUGGUAAAGAUGACUAUGUAAUUACAAAAACAAUAUAAAUGCAUAUUUCUUCUCCUUCUCUUAACUGACUUAAAAAUAAAUUGUAUAAAACAACA